This 491-nucleotide ribosomal RNA is filed under the name uncultured bacterium. RNAcentral describes it as "partial 16S ribosomal RNA". It matches the Rfam family "Bacterial small subunit ribosomal RNA", at positions 29 to 507 of the family's 1533-position model. The record is from RNAcentral.
GUGAACGCUGGCGGUAGGCCCAACACAUGCAAGUCGAACGGCAGCACAGUAAGAGCUUGCUCUUACGGGUGGCGAGUGGCGGACGGGUGAGGAAUACAUCGGAAUCUACUUUUUCGUGGGGGAUAACGUAGGGAAACUUACGCUAAUACCGCAUACGACCUACGGGUGAAAGCAGGGGAUCUUCGGACCUUGCGCGAUUGAAUGAGCCGAUGUCGGAUUAGCUAGUUGGCGGGGUAAAGGCCCACCAAGGCGACGAUCCGUAGCUGGUCUGAGAGGAUGAUCAGCCACACUGGAACUGAGACACGGUCCAGACUCCUACGGGAGGCAGCAGUGGGGAAUAUUGGACAAUGGGCGCAAGCCUGAUCCAGCCAUACCGCGUGGGUGAAGAAGGCCUUCGGGUUGUAAAGCCCUUUUGUUGGGAAAGAAAAGCAGCAGGCUAAUACCCCGCUGUUCUGACGGUACCCAAAGAAUAAGCACCGGCUAACUUCGUG